Molecule: ribosomal RNA, 312 nt
Filed under: Triticum aestivum (bread wheat)
Lineage: Eukaryota; Viridiplantae; Streptophyta; Magnoliopsida; Poales; Poaceae
Description: partial small subunit ribosomal RNA
Source: RNAcentral
AUGCGGCCGAGCACAACCGGCGGCAGCGAACACGUCGUUUGGGACGCUCAUGGAAUCCUGGGACUCCAAUGGCAAGACGGAAGUGCUCCUCGCACCGGACGCAGCAGAAAUCCCAUUAAUCUCGACACCAUUGGUAGACAUCUCGCCGGCGCCGGAACAGCACGGCCGCCGCUGUUAGACGAACUGAUGCAGAUUGGAAUGGAGAAGACGACCCGCUGCGUGGCUGUGGUUUAUCCCACGCCAGCCAACCCAGCCGCGCGAGGGGGUGUGCCUGACAAGAUUCUCUCACAUGUGCUGUUUCGAAGGACCUAA